CGGACACGGGUCGGGCUUGGACAGAAAAAUUCGGUCUGAUCCAUGCUCUAAUGUGUGUGUGUGUGUGUGCUCUAAUGUGCAUUCAGCCCUGUUGUGUGUCAGAUUGAGGCUUUUGUGUGAGUGUGUGUGUCUCUGUGUGUGGCAUGGUGGCUCAGGUGCUUGGCUCACAGCAAGAAGGUCCUGGGUUCGAUUCCCGCAUGGGGCGCUGUUGGCUCUGGGGGGCAGGUCCUCCCCAGACCUCAUUGCUCAGGUGGGCUAUCUCCUGGGCCUUUCUGUGUGGAGUUUGCAUGUUCUCCCCGUGUUCACAAGGGGUUUCCUCCACUAAGAACCCCAACAGAAAAACAUGCAAAAGAACACUCUCCUGAUCAAGACGGACGGUUCAAGAUUGAGGUGUGUGUGUGUGUAAAAUUGAGGUGUGUGUGUGUGUGUGUGUAAGAUUGAGGUGUGUGUGUUUGUGUGUGUAAGAUUGAGGCUUGUGUGUCAGUAGGGCAGCAGACAUAAGGACAUUAUUCUGAGAAACGCACACAAACUUGAUUAGUUGAUUAGCUGAAAUGUGAAACUUUCUGCUGACAGAAGUCUAGGGUUCACACACACACACACACCUCUUCUUAUCUGACCUCCUAUCAUUUCCUGUGGUGAAACUACGAAGCCCAGUUCAUACAAAAACAGGCACAUGAGAACACACACACCAGGGACACACACUCACACUCUCACACACACAUCCAAAGACACACACUCACACUCUCACACACACACCAGGGACACACACUCACACUCUCACACACACAUCCAAAGACACACACUCACACACUCACACACACAUCCAAAGACACACACUCACACACUCACACACACAUCAGGGACACACACUCACACUCUCACACACACAUCCAAAGACACACACUCACACACUCACACACACAUCCAAAGACACACACUCACACUCUCACACACACAUCCAAAGACACACACUCACACACACACCAGGGACACACACUCACACUCUCACACACACAUCCAAAGACACACACUCACACACUCACACACCAGGGACACACACUCACACUCUCACACACACAUCCGAAGACACACACUCACACUCUCACACACACACACCAUGGAUGGCUUUUAGACUAGUGUGUGUGUGUGUGUGUGUGUGUGUGUGUGUGUGUGUGUGUGUGGUAGAGACAGACAGUGAACAGAUAACAUGCAACAUGCUCUGAUGACUGUCAUGCUUUUGCAGAUCGUUUGUUUGGUGGCGUCAGAGCGGACGACACACACGAGGAUCAGCCUGGGCCAGAUUGUUGGACUGACACCACAGUGCCAGGUCUGCCACUUGGUUCUGGUAGGGCUGCUCGUUGUUUUCGGAGAUUAGACCCAGCACCACUGUGUCGUCGGCAAAUUUAAUGAUGGAGGUUGAGCUUCCGGAGGCUGUGCAGUCAUAGGCGUAGAUGUUAUACAGCAGCGGGCUCAGAACGCACCCCUGGGGGGAACCUAUGUUGAGGGUCAGCGGCCCAGAGGUUACACCACCCUCUACUCUCACCACCUGGGGGCGGUCAGUGAGUCCAAGCCCAUGACAUGAGGGCCACAAGUCCAAGCCCAUGACAUGAGGGCCACACGCUGGAAGAAGAGGAUGGGGCGGAG
Molecule: long non-coding RNA, 1644 nt
Organism: Clupea harengus (Atlantic herring)
Lineage: Eukaryota; Metazoa; Chordata; Actinopteri; Clupeiformes; Clupeidae
Source: Ensembl